UUGUAUGAUGAUCUCUUGAUUCGCUGUGUUCUUACUGAAUACAUCUUGAAGAAAAACAUCAUUUCACCUUGGAGAACUGAUAC
Small nucleolar RNA from Aspergillus fumigatus Af293, 83 nucleotides. It matches the Rfam family "A. fumigatus snoRNA Afu_294". The record is from Rfam. Lineage: Eukaryota; Fungi; Ascomycota; Eurotiomycetes; Eurotiales; Aspergillaceae.